GCAACGCCUGCCCUUUUCCCCUUCUGCAUGACACACAUGCUUCAUAUGCCUUUGCUCACAUGGGUGAACCUUUUGCAAGUGAUAAAUCAGUUGUAAACACAAGGAGAUGGCAUUGGAUUAUAAAUAAUAGUCUGUCUUACCCACCACUAGGUUCCAAUUUCUAAUCCUUGCUCUGUUUCACACUUUUUCCAUGCCUCUCACAUAACAAAUUAAUGUUCAAAAGGGAAAAAAUCAUACCGGUGAUUUUCUUGUAAGUUUUGCAGUUGUUGCCUCAACAUAGCUGCCUCCCUUUGCCAGAACUAGCAAAAUUCACAAUUUAGCAACAUAUCAG
Molecule: unclassified non-coding RNA, 331 nt
Filed under: Hevea brasiliensis (rubber tree)
Lineage: Eukaryota; Viridiplantae; Streptophyta; Magnoliopsida; Malpighiales; Euphorbiaceae
Source: RNAcentral